AGUUCACUGCCUGGACAGUUCUCUCUCAGAGAUGCUUCUGAAACGGGGGGAACAUUUGCAAAAUCACUACACGAUCACGCAGCACUGCAAACAUGCUGAAGUUUCAUCUGCCUGGGCAUACAGGCCUGCUCUGAUUGUUUAUGAACGUCUGCGUGAGUCUUGUGAGGAAGAUGGCAGGGCAGUGUGAUCUUCCUUCUGGUCAACAUGGAACAUGUUACUUGGAUCUUCAAGAAGCAAAAGAAAUUUACUUUAAGCAGAAAGAAAGCAACUUUACAGGUGAGGCUCUAAUCACAUGCAUGCAGACACCUGAGGAGGAUCAAAGCCACCUGGCUCUUCACCAGCUCAGAUCGAGCACUCCCACUGAGUAAACAGCCAAUGCUUACCUGAGGGAAAUCUGCACUGCUCAAGAACUCGAGUUCAGGCAAAGAUCCCAAAUGAAAGCACAGGGCUGUCCUACCAGUGUGGCUGCUUGGGACCACCGGUAGUUCCAAAACGCACUUCGUCAUAUUCUUUACUUCAUAACUUUCAUAUUUUAUAAGCUUCAUUCAAAAGGUGGGUGUCAUAUGAGAACCGUAACUGUCUUCUUUAAAGUCAAAUAGAUGGGUGAUGUAAUUUUAAAACUUUAUAAUAAAA
Molecule: long non-coding RNA, 633 nt
Organism: Colossoma macropomum (tambaqui)
Lineage: Eukaryota; Metazoa; Chordata; Actinopteri; Characiformes; Serrasalmidae
Exons: 5
Source: RefSeq, a predicted model, not a curated record